AACGCACCUUGCGCUCCAUGGCAUUCCGUGGAGCAUGCCUGUUUGAGUGCCGCGAAAUCUCCCACCCCUAGCGGUUGCCGCAAGGCGCCGCCGGGCGGCGGGGUUGGUUGGGUGCCGCUGCCUGGGCUUUGGCCCAGGCUCGCCCGAACUGCAUGAGCGCUUAGCACUCGCACCGUCUCGAGGGUAGGCGGCUGAGCUGGCAUCUGCGCAUGUCAUGAUAUGUCAUUUGCUGUGUGGCAGACCAGCUACCCGAGAGUGUGUGUGAGUUACUACACGCCCUUUCAUUUCUGGUGUCAAAUCAGGUAGGAUCGACCGCUGAACUUAA
This 325-nucleotide unclassified non-coding RNA is filed under the name uncultured fungus. RNAcentral describes it as "partial contains 5.8S rRNA and ITS2". The record is from RNAcentral. Lineage: Eukaryota; Fungi.